RNAcentral lists this ribosomal RNA (693 nucleotides) under Triticum aestivum (bread wheat). RNAcentral describes it as "partial small subunit ribosomal RNA". Lineage: Eukaryota; Viridiplantae; Streptophyta; Magnoliopsida; Poales; Poaceae. The record is from RNAcentral.
AUGCCAAAGAACAGCAAGGAGUACAGACAGAACAAACCAAAAAAACAAGGGCAAAUGCUAACUAAAAUGGUACCCAGUACACCAUCAUCAAAGACCAGCGAGAAAAAGGAAACAGGGGAGAGCACCAACAUUCAAGGCAAACAAACACAACAACACAGGGGAAUGGAACAAGCAGAAGAUGUUCUUCCAACAACAGACAACCUAACCUCCAUAGACCAAGCCGGAAAACUUUCGCUGUCCGGGCAAGAAAUAACAGAGAUGUCAACGUCGACGCAAAAGAUCGAAAAGCCACAAGACAAAAAUGACGACACCAUGGAGGUCCAAAAAUCUGCACUCACCGAAGAAAAGGUCGAAGAGGAAGCACCAGCAGAAACGACUGAAAAGAAACCUCAACAGGACACGCACGCAGACACAAGUAAAGAAGCAAAGGGCCACAGUGCAUUGGAAAACCAUGCGGCAAACAUUCCAGAGAAAGAGUCAGACAGCAACGAGAAAAAGUCCGCACCAUCAGACAAGAAACAUUGUGCUGUAAAAGAUGUUGCCACCACAAACACGGCGGUAACCCAGGGCAGCACUCAAACAAAACAUGAACCGUUGAUCAUACAAAACCUGGCCAUCGAAGAAGGGACAAAAGACAAAGGGAUCGAACACCUGUACAACAACGUCAUGACAGCGAAUAAGGACAAAGGGUAA